Non-coding RNA from Microcebus murinus (gray mouse lemur), 594 nucleotides. NCBI's taxonomy places the organism in Eukaryota, Metazoa, Chordata, Mammalia, Primates, Cheirogaleidae. The record is from RefSeq and is a predicted model, not a curated record.
GCAACCAGGUGUGAUGCUCCAGGGUGUGGUCUCAGCCCAGCCAGACUUGAGACCAGACUCCAGCUGGGCCCUGCCUCUCACUCCUGUGGUCAGAUAACCUUACUUGCUUUUUUCACCUCGUAAGAUGAACCCAGCAGCCUUUGUGCAGGAUGGCUUGAAGAGGUGUUGCUCCUCAUCUAUCAAUGCCCACCUGCCACUAAGCUCCAGAUGCUGGAAUUACCUGACCGUCACCUCUACCUUCCCCAACCCAGAAACAUCCAUGUUCUCUCAGCCAGUCUCUCAUCAUUAGCCGAUCCAACUACCUAAGUCAAGAUGCAAAUGGCUGCACUCAAGAAUGGAAAAACAAACACCACAGGGGUGACUCAGAAGUGACGGAACCACUUCCAGGCAGGCUUGGCCUAUAAAACCUCACCCAGGUGGCCCUCCCUGCUCUGCCCCUGCAAUCUCAGAAGGUGCUCGUUAAAGAAGGAGGAAGCGCAAGGUGCAGAGCCCAGGUCUCUCAAUCAAUGCUUGGAGGAGCUACUCACCCAUCAAAAACACCAGAUUGAACUGUCCAUGAGUGACAAAUAAACUUCUGUUGGGCUUUAGCUAUUA